UAAGUUACCCAUUUCUGUGCUUUGUAAAUAUUUCUUUUAAUUAUGCAAAUUCUGUGAAAUGGAAUCAACUGGUCUGACCUGGAAAUCAACACAAUCAAUGCUUUGGAAUUAGAAUUUGCUCCCCCACAACACUCUCUUGAGUGAGAAAGACCCCAGGCAACUGUAUCUGUUAAGACAUCUGCAAAAAAUUGCCCAUUGCGUUCUAAGUGGGGACACCAUUCAGGAGCUUUAGCCUAGUUCAUGUCGCAUAAAAUGUAGCUAAAUACAUUACAUUUUCCUAUGCUGUUGACUCCAGGUGAUCCUCCUUUCAGGAGGCAAGGUAAGGUUGCUACCUCAGGAUACUAUGAAGCAUAAUAAAUUUGCCUUAAAAAUAGUGGGCUUAACAUGUAUUUAAAGCUGCCAAUGGAGUGGCAAAUGAAAUGUCUCUGAAAUAGUGUUGGGCCAAUCGGCUGGAGGGGUUUUCCUGGGGGCAGUCCAGUGCCCUCUUGGCAGCUGUUCUUUGUUGCCAUCACAUCAAUUGUGAGUAGACGUGUGGGAUGUUAUAGAGAAGGUUGAUAAUGGGAACUCGGCUAAAUGGGAGAACAGAAGGUUAAGGCUAAUUUCAGCUAUUAAGAUCGGGUGAGGAAGUAAGGAAGAAAGAAAAAGAAUGAAACAUCAGGAAAGAUCUGCACAGAACAAUUGCAGUGGGAAUAGAGCUAUCUGGCAGGUUCCCAAAUCUUCACUCAUGACAAAAGUACUGUUGUACCUACUGGAAAGGUAGAUUAGUUUGUCUGGUACAGAUACCUUGAGUUACAAACGCCUCAGGUUACAAACGCUUCAGGUAACAAACUCCACUAACCUGGAAGAGUUACCUCAAGUUGAGAACUUUGCCCCAGGAUGAGAACGGAAAUCGUGUGCCACCGGCGGCGCAGCAGCAAGAGGCCCCAUUAGCAAAAGCACACCUCUGGUUAAGAACAGUUUCAGGUUAAGAUCAGACCUCCGGAACGAAUUAAGUUCUUAACCUGAGGUACCACUGUAUAGGAUUAAUGGGGCCCCACUCUGGCAUGGCCUGCAACACCUCUUCCCUCCUCUGUCUCCACGGUUGGCUUUCAGUUAAUGAUUCAUUGCAGAAAAUAGGUUAACAUUAUUCUGAGUUUCAGUUCCAAACUGUUCAUGAUUGGCAGGUAUGCAAAACUGAAGAGGGUACCAGCCUAUUUCCUGUAAAAGCUACUCGUGCCUUCAUCCACUAAAGAUGCAAGGAAGCUCAACCCAGUGAUGCUACACUGGCAAAGCAAAAUUUACUGAUGCCUUGUCUCAAUAAGGUACAUUAAGAACUUAACCGUCCAGGGGUCCUUUACCUUACCUUUACAUUAAGAACGUCCAUUACUCCUUACAAAAGGCGUCCCACCAGGACAUGCAUUUUUCUGGGUUCCUAUCAAUUACUGGGCAUGAAUAAAAAUCAGAAUUAAAACCUUUGUAGAUGCUGCUGGUACUUCUAAGCUUUAUUUUCAGUGUAAAUUAUGUACACAUUGCUGUUUUCCACAGGUACUGUAUCAUGGUAGGUUAGAACAACGAUAGUGAAUAAAUGUAUAAAGUUUGGUACUUAGAAUAUUAUUUUUUUUAAUGGUCUGAGCUUUACCAACAUUUUAACUACACCGCCCAAAACUGUCAUUGAAAUGGUUGUUGUACAUGUACCUUAUUAACUCAACAUCUCUCUUUACGUCUGUAUAUGAAUAGCUUGGUUUCUACGUCAGAGCUCAAAAGGAAGCAUGUAAUGAUUUUUGUUGUUAAAUCGCUUUCAUAAUAAAUCUAAAAUUAGAUAAAA
Molecule: long non-coding RNA, 1804 nt
Organism: Podarcis raffonei (Aeolian wall lizard)
Lineage: Eukaryota; Metazoa; Chordata; Lepidosauria; Squamata; Lacertidae
Exons: 2
Source: RefSeq, a predicted model, not a curated record